Molecule: unclassified non-coding RNA, 346 nt
Filed under: soil metagenome
Description: partial contains 5.8S ribosomal RNA, internal transcribed spacer 2, and large subunit ribosomal RNA
Rfam family: 5.8S ribosomal RNA (bases 1-120)
Source: RNAcentral
GAUGAAGAACGUAUCGAAAUGCGAUACGUAAUGUGAAUUGCAGAAUUCAGUGAAUCAUCGAGUCUUUGAACGCACAUUGCGCCCCCUGGUAUUCCGGGGGGCAUGCCUGUCCGAGCGUCAUUGCUGCCCUCAAGCCCGGCUUGUGUGUUGGGUCUCGUCCCCCUUCCCGGGGGGACGGGCCCGAAAGGCAGCGGCGGCACCGUGUCCGGUCCUCGAGCGUAUGGGGCUUUGUCACCCGCUCUGUAGGCCCGGCCGGCGCUUGCCGAUCAACCAAAACUUUUUUCCAGGUUGACCUCGGAUCAGGUAGGGAUACCCGCUGAACUUAAGCAUAUCAAUAAGCGGAGGA